RNAcentral lists this ribosomal RNA (1118 nucleotides) under Alternaria tenuissima. RNAcentral's name for it is "SSU rRNA". It matches the Rfam family "Eukaryotic small subunit ribosomal RNA", at positions 46 to 1175 of the family's 1831-position model. The record is from RNAcentral. Lineage: Eukaryota; Fungi; Ascomycota; Dothideomycetes; Pleosporales; Pleosporaceae.
GGGUUCGGCAUGUCUAGUAUAAGCAUUAUACCGUGAAACUGCGAAUGGCUCAUUAAAUCAGUUAUCGUUUAUUUGAUAAUACCUUACUACUUGGAUAACCGUGGUAAUUCUAGAGCUAAUACAUGCUGAAAAUCCCGACUUCGGAAGGGAUGUGUUUAUUAGAUAAAAAACCAAUGCCCUUCGGGGCUUUUUGGUGAUUCAUGAUAACUUUACGGAUCGCAUAGCCUUGCGCUGGCGACGGUUCAUUCAAAUUUCUGCCCUAUCAACUUUCGAUGGUAAGGUAUUGGCUUACCAUGGUUUCAACGGGUAACGGGGAAUUAGGGUUCGAUUCCGGAGAGGGAGCCUGAGAAACGGCUACCACAUCCAAGGAAGGCAGCAGGCGCGCAAAUUACCCAAUCCCGACACGGGGAGGUAGUGACAAUAAAUACUGAUACAGGGCUCUUUUGGGUCUUGUAAUUGGAAUGAGUACAAUUUAAACCUCUUAACGAGGAACAAUUGGAGGGCAAGUCUGGUGCCAGCAGCCGCGGUAAUUCCAGCUCCAAUAGCGUAUAUAAAAGUUGUUGCAGUUAAAAAGCUCGUAGUUGAAACUUGGGCCUGGCUGGCGGGUCCGCCUCACCGCGUGCACUCGUCCGGCCGGGCCUUCCUUCUGAAGAACCUCAUGCCCUUCACUGGGCGUGCUGGGGAAUCAGGACUUUUACUUUGAAAAAAUUAGAGUGUUCAAAGCAGGCCUUUGCUCGAAUACGUUAGCAUGGAAUAAUAAAAUAGGGCGUGCGUUUCUAUUUUGUUGGUUUCUAGAGACGCCGCAAUGAUUAACAGGAACAGUCGGGGGCAUCAGUAUUCAGUUGUCAGAGGUGAAAUUCUUGGAUUUACUGAAGACUAACUACUGCGAAAGCAUUUGCCAAGGAUGUUUUCAUUAAUCAGUGAACGAAAGUUAGGGGAUCGAAGACGAUCAGAUACCGUCGUAGUCUUAACCGUAAACUAUGCCGACUAGGGAUCGGGCGAUGUUCUUUUUCUGACUCGCUCGGCACCUUACAAGAAAUCAAAGUUUUUGGGUUCUGGGGGGGAAUUAUGUUCGCAAGGGUGAAACUUAAGAAAAUUGACGGAAGGGCCCACCCGGG